RNAcentral lists this ribosomal RNA (1722 nucleotides) under Escherichia coli. RNAcentral's name for it is "bacterial LSU rRNA". It matches the Rfam family "Bacterial large subunit ribosomal RNA", at positions 1 to 1756 of the family's 2925-position model. Lineage: Bacteria; Pseudomonadati; Pseudomonadota; Gammaproteobacteria; Enterobacterales; Enterobacteriaceae. The record is from RNAcentral.
GGGUUGUGAGGUUAAGCGACUAAGCGUACACGGUGGAUGCCCUGGCAGUCAGAGGCGAUGAAGGACGUGCUAAUCUGCGAUAAGCGUCGGUAAGGUGAUAUGAACCGUUAUAACCGGCGAUUUCCGAAUGGGGAAACCCAGUGUGAUUCGUCACACUAUCAUUAACUGAAUCCAUAGGUUAAUGAGGCGAACCGGGGGAACUGAAACAUCUAAGUACCCCGAGGAAAAGAAAUCAACCGAGAUUCCCCCAGUAGCGGCGAGCGAACGGGGAGCAGCCCAGAGCCUGAAUCAGUGUGUGUGUUAGUGGAAGCGUCUGGAAAGGCGCGCGAUACAGGGUGACAGCCCCGUACACAAAAAUGCACAUACUGUGAGCUCGAUGAGUAGGGCGGGACACGUGGUAUCCUGUCUGAAUAUGGGGGGACCAUCCUCCAAGGCUAAAUACUCCUGACUGACCGAUAGUGAACCAGUACCGUGAGGGAAAGGCGAAAAGAACCCCGGCGAGGGGAGUGAAAAAGAACCUGAAACCGUGUACGUACAAGCAGUGGGAGCACGCUUAGGCGUGUGACUGCGUACCUUUUGUAUAAUGGGUCAGCGACUUAUAUUCUGUAGCAAGGUUAACCGAAUAGGGGAGCCGAAGGGAAACCGAGUCUUAACUGGGCGUUAAGUUGCAGGGUAUAGACCCGAAACCCGGUGAUCUAGCCAUGGGCAGGUUGAAGGUUGGGUAACACUAACUGGAGGACCGAACCGACUAAUGUUGAAAAAUUAGCGGAUGACUUGUGGCUGGGGGUGAAAGGCCAAUCAAACCGGGAGAUAGCUGGUUCUCCCCGAAAGCUAUUUAGGUAGCGCCUCGUGAACUCAUCUCCGGGGGUAGAGCACUGUUUCGGCAAGGGGGUCAUCCCGACUUACCAACCCGAUGCAAACUGCGAAUACCGGAGAAUGUUAUCACGGGAGACACACGGCGGGUGCUAACGUCCGUCGUGAAGAGGGAAACAACCCAGACCGCCAGCUAAGGUCCCAAAGUCAUGGUUAAGUGGGAAACGAUGUGGGAAGGCCCAGACAGCCAGGAUGUUGGCUUAGAAGCAGCCAUCAUUUAAAGAAAGCGUAAUAGCUCACUGGUCGAGUCGGCCUGCGCGGAAGAUGUAACGGGGCUAAACCAUGCACCGAAGCUGCGGCAGCGACGCUUAUGCGUUGUUGGGUAGGGGAGCGUUCUGUAAGCCUGCGAAGGUGUGCUGUGAGGCAUGCUGGAGGUAUCAGAAGUGCGAAUGCUGACAUAAGUAACGAUAAAGCGGGUGAAAAGCCCGCUCGCCGGAAGACCAAGGGUUCCUGUCCAACGUUAAUCGGGGCAGGGUGAGUCGACCCCUAAGGCGAGGCCGAAAGGCGUAGUCGAUGGGAAACAGGUUAAUAUUCCUGUACUUGGUGUUACUGCGAAGGGGGGACGGAGAAGGCUAUGUUGGCCGGGCGACGGUUGUCCCGGUUUAAGCGUGUAGGCUGGUUUUCCAGGCAAAUCCGGAAAAUCAAGGCUGAGGCGUGAUGACGAGGCACUACGGUGCUGAAGCAACAAAUGCCCUGCUUCCAGGAAAAGCCUCUAAGCAUCAGGUAACAUCAAAUCGUACCCCAAACCGACACAGGUGGUCAGGUAGAGAAUACCAAGGCGCUUGAGAGAACUCGGGUGAAGGAACUAGGCAAAAUGGUGCCGUAACUUCGGGAGAAGGCACGCUGAUA